AGAUGUGCGGUUGAUCUAGUUGUGACAUCUGCCACCUCAUUGUUUGCCAAAGUUGAUUUGGCUGAUCUGGCUGUUGAGGGGAGUGUCCCCUUCCUUCCUUCCUCCUACCACUGUGUGUGAGCUCCUCCUGAAGCUGUGUGUUGGAUGGGGUGCAAGAAAAUACCUCUUGAUAGAAGAAGGCUGUAUUUUUGGAGGAGGAUAUAGGAGCAGCUGUGUUUCCCUGUUAGAUCCUUCAGGCUUUCACAAAACCUAGAACGCUUACUGUUUGGGCUUUUACAAACCAAGUGUGCACAUGUCUGCUAAAGAAUUGGAUAAUGAAGAAAUUAUGGACUGUUCUUU
Molecule: non-coding RNA, 339 nt
Organism: Cricetulus griseus (Chinese hamster)
Lineage: Eukaryota; Metazoa; Chordata; Mammalia; Rodentia; Cricetidae
Source: Rfam